GACGAACGCUGGCGGCGUGCUUAGCACAUGCAAGUCGAACGGUAAGGCCCUUCGGGGUACACGAGUGGCGAACGGGUGUGCAACACGUGGGUGAUCUGCCCUGCACUUCGGGAUAAGCCUGGGAAACUGGUCUAAUACCGGAUAGGACCACUGCCUGCAUGGGUGGUGGUGGAAAGCUUUUGCGGUGUGGGAUGGGCCCGCGGCCUAUCAGCUUGUUGGUGGGGUGAUGGCCUACCAAGGCGACGACGGGUAGCCGGCCUGAGAGGGUGACCGGCCACACUGGGACUGAGAUACGGCCCAGACGCCUACGGGAGGCAGCAGUGGGGAAUAUUGCACAAUGGGCGCAAGCCUGAUGCAGCGACGCCGCGUGAGGGAUGACGGCCUUCGGGUUGUAAACCUCUUUCAGCACCGACGAAGCGCAAGUGACGGUAGGUGCAGAAGAAGGACCGGCCAACUACGUGCCAGCCGCCGCCGUAA
This 477-nucleotide ribosomal RNA is filed under the name uncultured bacterium. RNAcentral's name for it is "partial 16S ribosomal RNA". It matches the Rfam family "Bacterial small subunit ribosomal RNA", at positions 28 to 523 of the family's 1533-position model. The record is from RNAcentral.